This 83-nucleotide small RNA is filed under the name Marmota monax (woodchuck). Lineage: Eukaryota; Metazoa; Chordata; Mammalia; Rodentia; Sciuridae. The record is from RNAcentral.
GCUGGGCACAGUGGCGCAUGCCUGUAAUCCCAGCAGCUCGGGAGGCUGAGGCAGGAGGAUAUCAAGUUCAAAGCCAGCCUCAG